GAUGAACGCUGGCGGCGUGCCUAAUACAUGCAAGUCGAGCGAACAGAUGAGGAGCUUGCUCCUCUGACGUUAGCGGCGGACGGGUGAGUAACACGUGGAUAACCUACCUAUAAGACUGGGAUAACUUCGGGAAACCGGAGCUAAUACCGGAUAAUAUAUUGAACCGCAUGGUUCAAUAGUGAAAGACGGUUUUGCUGUCACUUAUAGAUGGAUCCGCGCCGCAUUAGCUAGUUGGUAAGGUAACGGCUUACCAAGGCAACGAUGCGUAGCCGACCUGAGAGGGUGAUCGGCCACACUGGAACUGAGAAACGGUCCAGACUCCUACGGGAGGCAGCAGUAGGGAAUCUUCCGCAACGGGCGAAAGCCUGACGGAGCAACGCCGCGUGAGUGAUGAAGGUCUUCGGAUCGUAAAACUCUGUUAUUAGGGAAGAACAAAUGUGUAAGUAACUAUGCACGUCUUGACGGUACCUAAUCAGAAAGCCACGGCUAACUACGUG
RNAcentral lists this ribosomal RNA (497 nucleotides) under uncultured bacterium. Its description in RNAcentral is "partial 16S ribosomal RNA". It matches the Rfam family "Bacterial small subunit ribosomal RNA", at positions 28 to 507 of the family's 1533-position model. The record is from RNAcentral.